This is a long non-coding RNA of Corvus hawaiiensis (hawaiian crow), 593 nucleotides long. RefSeq lists it as uncharacterized. The record is from RefSeq and is a predicted model, not a curated record. The transcript is spliced from 3 exons. Lineage: Eukaryota; Metazoa; Chordata; Aves; Passeriformes; Corvidae.
GGGAAGCUCGGAACAUGCAGCAACAGGUGACUGUUCUUUCUUGCUUUGUUCUCUUUCCCACAAUGCCAUCUUGCAUUAUAUGGCUGAUUUGGAUGGAUUAUUGCUUCUCAGCGACAGUGCAAAGUGGACAAAUGAUUGUGUCAACUUAAUGCGGUCAGUGUUGAAUGCAGUCAGUGUCUCUGUGAAGCCUUCGAGAAUACUCAACAAUUGCUCAGCCUGAAUGAAGAAACUCAGUCACAGACAACACAGUUUUGUCUAUAUAGGAGUGCUUCUAUUUCUCAGGACAAACACGGCUGGAUUUUGGGAGACUUGAAUGCAGAAGGACACCCAGGAGUAAGAAGAGGACGAUAAUGAUGGGGUUCGGGUCAUUCAUGAUGGUGCUGCUGUGGAAAUGGUAUGGAAAGUUCAUCUUGUGGGAUUAAUGCACUUGUCAGCUGCCUGAAAAGCCAGCAGAAGCAUGAUUGUGUAUGGAAGCUGAUCUGGUACUUAAAGAGAAGAGGGCCCUGGCUCCUGCUGCCACUGAGACUCAGUCAGCUUUUCUGACAAUUGACCUGAACUGUCAGAUGCUAUGCUUGUCUCUGCUUGUUCUUUGG